This 492-nucleotide ribosomal RNA is filed under the name uncultured bacterium. Its description in RNAcentral is "partial 16S ribosomal RNA". It matches the Rfam family "Bacterial small subunit ribosomal RNA", at positions 29 to 507 of the family's 1533-position model. The record is from RNAcentral.
AGUGAACGCUGGCGGUAGGCCUAACACAUGCAAGUCGAACGGCAGCACAGUAAGAGCUUGCUCUUACGGGUGGCGAGUGGCGGACGGGUGAGGAAUACAUCGGAAUCUACUUUUUCGUGGGGGAUAACGUAGGGAAACUUACGCUAAUACCGCAUACGACCUACGGGUGAAAGCAGGGGAUCUUCGGACCUUGCGCGAUUGAAUGAGCCGAUGUCGGAUUAGCUAGUUGGCGGGGUAAAGGCCCACCAAGGCGACGAUCCGUAGCUGGUCUGAGAGGAUGAUAAGCCACACUGGAACUGAGACACGGUCCAGACUCCUACGGGAGGAAGCAGUGGGGAAUAUUGGACAAGGGGCGCAAGCCUGAUCCAGCCAUACCGCGUGGGUGAAGAAGGCCUUCGGGUUGUAAAGCCUUUUUGUGGGGAAAGAAAGGCAGCAGGUUAAUACCCCGCUGUUCUGACGGUACCCAAAGAAUAAGCACCGGCUAACUUCGUG